RNAcentral lists this small RNA (2556 nucleotides) under Pongo abelii (Sumatran orangutan). RNAcentral describes it as "retained intron". The record is from RNAcentral. Lineage: Eukaryota; Metazoa; Chordata; Mammalia; Primates; Hominidae.
AUUAGCAGUCGCGGUGUGCGGCUCGGCGCGGGCUCACAAAGAGCUCGGCCUCGCGGACUGAGCCGGCGGCGGCGGCGGCGGCGGGGCGGGGACGGCGGCGUACCGGGGCAGCCUAGCGCCCUGGCCAGUCUCCUGAAUAUUUACGCAUUGCUGAAUCUCCUGUGGACAAACCACCAACAGGCCAGGACUGUCCUGUGGACAGACGGGGUGAGCCUCUUCUUGUGUCUGGAGAUUCUGAAAAGAUUUGAUCACCAGGAGAUUUUUCGGGACAUUACCAAACCACUGAUUUUAGUGGCUGCCUCCAGGUGAUGAUGGCCGCGUGAGCGACUGCCAUGGCCCACCAGAAGCUUGAGAGCGUGGGGAGCGGCAUGUUGGACCAUAGGGUGAGACCGGGUCCUGUCCCUCACAGCCAGGAGCCUGAGAGCGAGGACAUGGAGCUGCCCUUGGAGGGCUAUGUGCCCGAGGGCCUGGAGCUGGCUGCCCUGCGGCCAGAGAGCCCCAUGCACCAGAGGAACAGGAGUGCCACAACCACAGCCCCGAUGGGGACUCCAGUUCUGACUACGUGAACAACACCUCUGAGGAGGAGGACUAUGACGAGGGCCUCCCUGAGGAGGAGGAGGGCAUCCCCUACUACAUCCGCUACUGCCCCGAGGACGACAGCUACCUGGAGGGCAUGGACUGCAAUGGGGAGGUGUACCUGGCCCACGGUGCACACCCUGUGGACACUGACGAGUGCCAGGAGGCGGUGGAGGAGUGGACAGACUCGGCAGGCCCGCGCCCCCACAGCCACGAGGCUGAAGGCAGCCAGGACUACCCAGAUGGCCAACUGCCCAUCACAGAGGAUGAGCCCUCUGUCCUGGAGGCCCACGACCAGGAAGAAGACGGUCACUACUGUCCCAGCAAAGAGGGCUACCAGGACUACUACCCUGAGGAGGCCAACGGGAACACCAGCGCCUCUCCCUACCCCCUGAGGUGCGGGGACGGGGACCUGGAGGACCAGGAGGAGGACAUCGACCAGAUCGUGGCAGAGAUCAAGAUAAGCCUGAGUAUGACCAGCAUCACCAGCGCCAGUGAGGCCAGCCCCGAGCAUGGGCCUGAGCCAGGGCCUGCAGGCUCUGCAGAGGCCUGCCCACCCGUCAAGGCCAGCUGCAGGCACGAGGCGAGGCCCAAGUCGCUGAACCUCCUUCCCGAGGCCAAGCACCCCGGAGACCCCCAGAGAGGCUUCAAGCCCAAGACCAGGACCCCAGAAGAGAGGCCGAAGUGGCCCCACGAGCAGGUUUGCAAUGGUCUGGAGCAGCCAAGGAAGCAGCAGCGCUCUGAUCUCAAUGGACCUGUUGACAAUAACAACAUUCCAGAGACAAAGAAGGUGGCAUCAUUUCCAAGUUUUGUGGCCGUUCCAGGGCCCUGCGAACCAGAAGACCUCAUCGAUGGGAUCAUCUUUGCUGCCAAUUACCUGGGGUCCACCCAGCUGCUAUCAGAACGGAACCCUUCCAAAAACAUCAGAAUGAUGCAAGCGCAGGAGGCCGUCAGCCGGGUCAAGAAUUCUGAGGGGGACGCCCAGACGCUGACGGAAGUGGACCUCUUCAUUUCCACCCAGAGGAUCAAGGUUUUAAAUGCAGACACGCAGGAAACCAUGAUGGACCACGCCUUGCGUACCAUCUCCUACAUCGCCGACAUUGGGAACAUUGUGGUGCUGAUGGCCAGACGCCGCAUGCCCCGGUCAGCCUCUCAGGACUGCAUCGAGACCACGCCCGGGGCCCAGGAAGGCAAGAAGCAGUAUAAGAUGAUCUGCCACGUGUUCGAGUCGGAGGAUGCCCAGCUCAUCGCCCAGUCCAUUGGCCAGGCCUUCAGCGUGGCCUACCAGGAGUUUCUGCGAGCCAAUGGCAUCAACCCCGAAGACUUGAGCCAGAAGGAGUACAGCGACAUCAUCAACACCCAGGAGAUGUACAACGAUGACCUCAUCCACUUCUCAAACUCGGAGAACUGCAAGGAGCUGCAGCUGGAGAAGCACAAAGGCGAGAUCCUGGGCGUGGUGGUGGUGGAGUCGGGCUGGGGCUCCAUCCUGCCCACCGUGAUCCUGGCCAACAUGAUGAAUGGCGGCCCGGCCGCCCGCUCGGGGAAGCUGAGCAUCGGGGACCAGAUCAUGUCCAUCAAUGGCACCAGCCUGGUGGGGCUGCCCCUCGCCACCUGCCAAGGCAUCAUCAAGGGCCUGAAGAACCAGACACAGGUGAAGCUCAACAUCGUCAGCUGUCCCCCGGUCACCACGGUCCUCAUCAAGCGGCCAGACCUCAAGUACCAGCUGGGCUUCAGCGUGCAGAAUGGAAUUGUGAGUGCCCCCUCCUGCCCUGGGCCUCCACCACCGCUGCAGGGCCCAGGGAGUGGGAGCAGCUCCCGUCCGAUGGGGCGGGCUAUGCCUGGCAGCCUGGCAGGACCUGGCCCGUGGGUGCAGCUGCCCACAGCCAGGCCACCCGGGGCAGGAACUUUCCACGGUUCUCUGGGAGGUCUGGGUAGAAGGGGAGGGCCAGGGCAUGGCCGUGGAUUGGGCCCCUCCAGCCU